UCGACGAGAGGAAGGAAGCUUGCUUUUCUGAAUCUAGUGGCGAACGGGUGAGUAACACGUAGGUAACCUGCCCAUGUGCCCGGGAUAACUUCUGGAAACGGAUGCUAAAACCGGAUAGGUAGCAGACAAGCAUUUGACUGCUAUUAAAGUGGCCUUGGCCAUGAACAUGGAUGGACCUGCGGUGCAUUAGCUGGUUGGUGAGGUAACGGCCCACCAAGGCGACGAUGCAUAGCCGGCCUGAGAGGGCGGACGGCCACAUUGGGACUGAGACACGGCCCAAACUCCUACGGGAGGCAGCAGUAGGGAAUUUUCGUCAAUGGGGGGAACCCUGAACGAGCAAUGCCGCGUGAGUGAGGAAGGUCUUCGGAUCGUAAAGCUCUGUUGUAAGAGAAAAACGGCACUCAUAGGGAAUGAUGAGUGAGUGAUGGUAUCUUACCAGAAAGUCACGGCUAACUACGUGCCAGCAGCCGCGGUAAUACGUAGGUGGCGAGCGUUAUCCGGAAUGAUUGGGCGUAAAGGGUGCGUAGGUGGCAGAUCAAGUCUGGAGUAAAAGGUAUGGGCUCAACCCGUACUGGCUCUGGAAACUGAUCAGCUAGAGAACAGAAGAGGACGGCGGAACUCCAUGUGUAGCGGUAAAAUGCGUAGAUAUAUGGAAGAACACCGGUGGCGAAGGCGGCCGUCUGGUCUGGAUUCUGACACUGA
This 702-nucleotide ribosomal RNA is filed under the name uncultured bacterium. RNAcentral's name for it is "bacterial SSU rRNA". It matches the Rfam family "Bacterial small subunit ribosomal RNA", at positions 62 to 749 of the family's 1533-position model. The record is from RNAcentral.